AUCUGAUCUCAAAUCAGGNAGGACUACCCGCUGAACUUAA
Molecule: ribosomal RNA, 40 nt
Filed under: Rhizoctonia solani
Lineage: Eukaryota; Fungi; Basidiomycota; Agaricomycetes; Cantharellales; Ceratobasidiaceae
Description: partial 28S ribosomal RNA
Source: RNAcentral